Molecule: long non-coding RNA, 403 nt
Filed under: Anser brachyrhynchus (Pink-footed goose)
Lineage: Eukaryota; Metazoa; Chordata; Aves; Anseriformes; Anatidae
Description: lncRNA (ENSABRG00000008601.1)
Source: RNAcentral
AAAAUUAUAAACUCUGGGGCAUGGCAUACUUUCAGUGGUGCCUACAUCUCCCAUACUUGGCAAAAAGUCCAGGAUAACACCAGGCAAUACGCAAAAGAGAUGACCUUCUGAGAAAGUCAGAAGGUGAUUUCCUGCAGGCAAGGAAAGGCAUCAAAGCAAAAGUGGCUGAGGUGGAGCACCUUGACAGUGUGGUCAAGAAACUGAAAGCCAGUAUCCAGGACACACAGAAAGAAAGGAAUCAGACAGAAACAGAAACCACCACACUGAGAACUGAGAUUCAGCAGCUAAAUCGGGAACUGCAGGGUGUGCAUAAGCAGUGCAGAAAGACAGCCCAAGAACUUGCCAGUCAAGAUGAAAAACUUCUUCUAAUGGAAUCCAGCUUGAAAGGAACUCAAGAACAGCU